Molecule: small RNA, 25 nt
Filed under: Mus musculus (house mouse)
Lineage: Eukaryota; Metazoa; Chordata; Mammalia; Rodentia; Muridae
Description: piRNA piR-mmu-55370144
Source: RNAcentral
ACUAAUCCUAGCCCUAGCCCUACAG